This 76-nucleotide transfer RNA is filed under the name Prevotella communis. RNAcentral's name for it is "tRNA_Met_CAT". It matches the Rfam family "tRNA". Rfam says of the family: Transfer RNA (tRNA) molecules are approximately 80 nucleotides in length. Their secondary structure includes four short double-helical elements and three loops (D, anti-codon, and T loops). Further hydrogen bonds mediate the characteristic L-shaped molecular structure. tRNAs have two regions of fundamental functional importance: the anti-codon, which is responsible for specific mRNA codon recognition, and the 3' end, to which the tRNAs corresponding amino acid is attached (by aminoacyl-tRNA synthetases). tRNAs cope with the degeneracy of the genetic code in two manners: having more than one tRNA (with a specific anti-codon) for a particular amino acid; and 'wobble' base-pairing, i.e. permitting non-standard base-pairing at the 3rd anti-codon position. The record is from RNAcentral. Lineage: Bacteria; Pseudomonadati; Bacteroidota; Bacteroidia; Bacteroidales; Prevotellaceae.
CGCGGUGUGGCGCAGAUGGUAGCGCGGUAGCCUCAUACACUACAGGUCAGUGGUUCGAGUCCACUCACCGCAACAA